Molecule: small nuclear RNA, 104 nt
Organism: Suncus etruscus (white-toothed pygmy shrew)
Lineage: Eukaryota; Metazoa; Chordata; Mammalia; Eulipotyphla; Soricidae
Source: RefSeq, a predicted model, not a curated record
GUGCUCAUUUCAGCAGCACAUAAACUAAAAUUGAAAUGAUACAGAGAUUAGAAUGGCCUCUAAACAAGAAUGGCACCCAAAUUCUUGAAACAUUCCAUAUUUUU